Molecule: ribosomal RNA, 452 nt
Filed under: uncultured bacterium
Lineage: Bacteria
Description: partial 16S ribosomal RNA
Rfam family: Bacterial small subunit ribosomal RNA
Source: RNAcentral
AACGAGCGCUGGCGGCAGGUCUUAGGCAUGCAAGUCGAACGGGUGUAGUAAUACACCAGUGGCGAACGAGUGAGUAACGCGUGGGAAUCUGCCCAUCUCUGGGGAAUAACGUUUGGAAACGAACGCUAAUACCGCAUACGCCCGCAAGGGGAAGGAUUUAUCGGAGAAUGGAUGAGCCCGCGUUGGAUUAGUUAGUUGGUGGGGUAACGGCCUACCAAGGCGAUGAUCCAUAGCUGGUCUGAGAGGUCGAUCAGCCACGUUGGAACUGAGAUACAGUCCAGACUCGAACGGGAGGCAGCAGCUAUGAAUAUUGGGCAAUGGAGGAGACUCUGACCCAGCCGUGCCGCGUGAGUGAAGGAGGCCUUCGGGUUGGAAAGUUCUUUUAGUCGUGACGAUGAUGACGGUAGCGACAGAAAAAGCACCGGCUAACUUCGUGCCAGCCGCCGCGGUAA